GAUGAACGCUGGCGGCGUGCUUAACACAUGCAAGUCGAACGGUGAAGGCGGAGCUUGCUCUGCUGGAUCAGUGGCGACCGGGUGAGUAACACGUGAGCAAUCUGCCCCUGACUCUGGGAUAAGCGCUGGAAACGGCGUCUAAUACUGGAUACGAGCUGCGCAGGCAUCUUCAGCAGCUGGAAAGAACUUCGGUCGGGGAUGAGCUCGCGGCCUAUCAGCUUGUUGGUGAGGUAACGGCUCACCAAGGCGUCGACGGGUAGCCGGCCUGAGAGGGUGACCGGCCACACUGGGACUGAGACACGGCCCAGACUCCUACGGGAGGCAGCAGUGGGGAAUAUUGCACAAUGGGCGAAAGCCUGAUGCAGCAACGCCGCGUGAGGGACGACGGCCUUCGGGUUGUAAACCUCUUUUAGCAGGGAAGAAGCGGAAGUGACGGUACCUGCAGAAAAAGCGCCGGCUAACUACGUG
RNAcentral lists this ribosomal RNA (468 nucleotides) under uncultured bacterium. Its description in RNAcentral is "partial 16S ribosomal RNA". It matches the Rfam family "Bacterial small subunit ribosomal RNA", at positions 28 to 507 of the family's 1533-position model. The record is from RNAcentral.